This 510-nucleotide ribosomal RNA is filed under the name uncultured bacterium. RNAcentral describes it as "partial 16S ribosomal RNA". It matches the Rfam family "Bacterial small subunit ribosomal RNA", at positions 28 to 507 of the family's 1533-position model. The record is from RNAcentral.
GACGAACGCUGGCGGCGUGCUUAACACAUGCAAGUCGAACGAAGAGCGAUGGAAGCUUGCUUCUAUCAAUCUUAGUGGCGAACGGGUGAGUAACGCGUAAUCAACCUGCCCUUCAGAGGGGGACAACAGUUGGAAACGACUGCUAAUACCGCAUACGACCUAAUCACGGCAUCGAGGAUAGAGGAAAGGUGGCUUCUACAUGUAAGCUAUCACUGAAGGAGGGGAUUGCGUCUGAUUAGGUAGAUGGAGGGGUAACGGCCCACCAAGGCGAGGAUCAGUAGCCGGUCUGAGAGGAUGAGCGGCCACAUUGGGACGGAGACACGGCCCAGAGUGCUACGGGAGGGAGCAGUGGGGAAACUUCCGCAAUGGACGAGAGUCUGACGGAGCAACGCCGCGUGAGCGAUGACGGCCUUCGGGUUGUAAAGCUCUGUUAAUCGGGACGAAAGGCCUUCUUGCGAAUAGUGAGAAGGAUUGACGGUACCGGAAUAGAAAGCCACGGCUAACUACGUG